AUGCACAUUGCCACGUGCGUGUGGCAGGAGAAGGCGGCGGCCAUGGGCGCGGCGGCCGGGGGCAGGGCCGGCGAGUGCAGGGUGUCGCUCGUGGCGCUGCUCGCGGCGGCGGGGCGCGCGCUCAACUGCGUGGUGAGCUUUGUGGUGUUCUCCUUCCUCGACGUGCUGGACAUGGUGCUCUGCCUGGUGUACAAGGUGGUGGACUACGCCGUGGAGGCCGAGUGGAAGCCCUGCUACUGCUCCGCCGCGGCGCGCGAGGGCGGCGGCGGCGGCGGCGUAGCAGGCGGCGCAGCGGGGGCGAAGGGGGCGCUGUCGUUCGUGGCCCCGCGGGCUGCGGCGGCGGCGGGGCCGAAGGUGGUGCGGCUGUCGUCGUCGUCGGCCAACAAGAUGCAGCUGGAGGACGUGUCGGACACGCUCUACGUGCGCGCCUCGCUGCUCUCGGACGCCACACGGAAGCCGGGCCCCAUCGCGCCGGCGCUGACCGUGAGCCCGGCCAUCGCCGAGCUCAUCCGGGGCAAGAUCGACCGCGCGCCACGCCCGCCGCGGCAGGCGCCCUGCUGGUCCGACUGCGACUGCAAGAUGUGCCACUCGUGGAGCACCGGCUCCCGCGCCUCCCACCUCUACGUGCACGUGCAGGCCCCGCCGCCGCCGCCGCCGGGGGCCGGCGAGCAGGAGGCAGUCAUCUUCAUCCACGGCUUCAUCUCCUCCUCCGUGUUCUGGACGGAGACGGUGUUCCCGGCGUUCAGCCUGGCGGCGCGCGGGCGGUACCGGAUGUUCGCCGUGGACCUGCUGGGGUUCGGGCGGAGCCCCAAGCCGGCCGACUCGCUGUACACGCUGCGGGAGCACCUGGAGAUGAUCGAGCGCUCCGUGCUCCAGCGCUACCGCCUCAAGUCCUUCCACGUCGUGGCGCACUCCCUCGGCUCCGUCCUCGCCCUCGCGCUCGCCGUCAAGUACCCCGGCGCCGUCAAGUCCCUCACGCUCCUCGCCCCGCCGUACUUCCCGGUGCCGGAGGAGGAGGCGGGGGCGGCGACGCAGUACGUGAUGCGGCGGGUGGCGCCGCGGCGGGUGUGGCCGCCGAUCGCGUUCGGGGCGUCGAUGGCGUGCUGGUACGAGCACGUGAGCCGGACCAUCUGCCUCACCAUCUGCAGGCACCACCGGGUCUGGAACAGGCUCUUCAGGAUCUUCACCAGAAACAAGAUGAGGACGUUCCUGAUCGAGGCGUUCAUGUGCCACACCCACAACGCGGCGUGGCACACCCUGCACAACAUCAUGUGCCUCAGCGCCAGCAAGAUGGGCGCCUACCUGGACGUGGUCGCCGGGCAGCUGAGCUGCAAGGUGGCCCUCUUCCACGGCCGCGACGACGAGCUGCUCCCCGUGGAGUGCACCCUCGCCGUCGGCGCCCGGGUGCCCCGGGCCCGCGUCACCGUCUACGACAACAAGGACCACAUCACCAUCGUCGUCGGCCAGGAGAAGCUCUUCGCCGCCGAGCUCGAGGCCAUCUGGCGGAGCGCCGCCCAGGACUAG
Molecule: ribosomal RNA, 1524 nt
Filed under: Triticum aestivum (bread wheat)
Lineage: Eukaryota; Viridiplantae; Streptophyta; Magnoliopsida; Poales; Poaceae
Description: partial small subunit ribosomal RNA
Source: RNAcentral